UGGAACAUUCAAAUUUGCUAGGUCUUGUUGCUUAUGUUUGGUUCAUUAGAUGGCCAUGUCCGUUGGUCCAUUCAAUCUAGUCCACAAUCUUUUUAGGCAAUUUCAUUCAUAUUCAUUUCAAUCAAUACCAAGUCCAUUUAAAUAUCAUUUUCAUUUAUAUUUUCAUUCAUUUCCUUAUAUAUUAUCCAUGUACAUAAAAAAAACCACAAGAUUGGCCAAUUUUUUUACAGUUGA
Molecule: long non-coding RNA, 234 nt
Filed under: Lathyrus oleraceus (garden pea)
Lineage: Eukaryota; Viridiplantae; Streptophyta; Magnoliopsida; Fabales; Fabaceae
Description: Pisum sativum (pea) long non-coding RNA (PSAT_LNC034018)
Source: RNAcentral